Molecule: ribosomal RNA, 117 nt
Organism: Sinocyclocheilus anshuiensis
Lineage: Eukaryota; Metazoa; Chordata; Actinopteri; Cypriniformes; Cyprinidae
Source: Ensembl
UGCCACAGCCAUAUCACCCUGCAGCCCAAGACUGGUUGCCCACUGAAGCUAAGCAGGGCUGAGCCUGGUCAGUACCUGGAUGGGAGACCUCUUGGGAAAACUAGGUUGCUGCUGGAA